CCAGACUCCUACGGGAGGCAGCAGUGGGGAAUAUUGGACAAUGGGGGGAACCCUGAUCCAGCGACGCCGCGUGAGUGAAGAAGUAUUUCGGUAUGUAAAGCUCUAUCAGCAGGGAAGAAAAUGACGGUACCUGACUAAGAAGCUCCGGCUAAAUACGUGCCAGCAGCCGCGGUAAUACGUAUGGAGCAAGCGUUAUCCGGAUUUACUGGGUGUAAAGGGAGCGCAGGCGGUCCGGCAAGUCUGAUGUGAAAGGCGGGGGCUCAACCCCCGGACUGCAUUGGAAACUGUCGGGCUGGAGUGUCGGAGGGGCAGGCGGAAUUCCUAGUGUAGCGGUGAAAUGCGUAGAUAUUAGGAGGAACACCGGUGGCGAAGGCGGCCUGCUGGACGACAACUGACGCUGAGGCUCGAAAGCGUGGGGAGCAAACAGGAUUAGAUACCCCAGUAC
Molecule: ribosomal RNA, 445 nt
Filed under: uncultured bacterium
Lineage: Bacteria
Description: bacterial SSU rRNA
Rfam family: Bacterial small subunit ribosomal RNA
Source: RNAcentral